Molecule: ribosomal RNA, 501 nt
Filed under: uncultured bacterium
Lineage: Bacteria
Description: partial 16S ribosomal RNA
Rfam family: Bacterial small subunit ribosomal RNA
Source: RNAcentral
AUUGAACGCUGGCGGCAGGCUUAACACAUGCAAGUCGAGCGGAGAGAGGUAGCUUGCUACUGAUCUUAGCGGCGGACGGGUGAGUAAUGCUUAGGAAUCUGCCUAUUAGUGGGGGACAACAUUUCGAAAGGAAUGCUAAUACCGCAUACGUCCUACGGGAGAAAGCAGGGGAUCUUCGGACCUUGCGCUAAUAGAUGAGCCUAAGUCGGAUUAGCUAGUUGGUGGGGUAAAGGCCUACCAAGGCGACGAUCUGUAGCGGGUCUGAGAGGAUGCUCCGCCAAAGUGGGACUGAGACACGGCCCAGGACCCUACGGGAGGCAGCAGGGGGGAAUAUUGGACAAUGGGGGGAACCCUGAUCCAGCCAUGCCGCGUGUGUGAAGAAGGCCUUAUGGUUGUAAAGCACUUUAAGCGAGGAGGAGGCUACUCUAGUUAAUACCUAGGGAUAGUGGACGUUACUCGCAGAAUAAGCACCGGCUAACUCUGUGCCAGCCGCCGCAGUAA